RNAcentral lists this ribosomal RNA (165 nucleotides) under Pseudomonas aeruginosa. RNAcentral's name for it is "partial 23S ribosomal RNA". It matches the Rfam family "Bacterial large subunit ribosomal RNA", at positions 2766 to 2925 of the family's 2925-position model. Lineage: Bacteria; Pseudomonadati; Pseudomonadota; Gammaproteobacteria; Pseudomonadales; Pseudomonadaceae. RNAcentral also lists the same sequence under 1 other name. The record is from RNAcentral.
AAGUGCUGAAAGCAUCUAAGCACGAAACUUGCCCCGAGAUGAGUUCUCCCUGACUCCUUGAGAGUCCUGAAGGAACGUUGAAGACGACGACGUUGAUAGGCCGGGUGUGUAAGCGCAGCGAUGCGUUGAGCUAACCGGUACUAAUGAACCGUGAGGCUUAACCUU